Molecule: long non-coding RNA, 660 nt
Organism: Megalobrama amblycephala (Wuchang bream)
Lineage: Eukaryota; Metazoa; Chordata; Actinopteri; Cypriniformes; Xenocyprididae
Exons: 4
Source: RefSeq, a predicted model, not a curated record
UGGUGCCCCCAAGUGGUGCGAUAUUUUGGUGUUGCGCUUCCAGACGCAUGCCCAGUGUUAAUUGUACAUACGGGAACUUGAAGUAAUUGAGACAACGCAGUCCGCAUUUGACAAUCUACCCUGUUUGGAAAAAAUGGCGGCUCUUUUGGUGGAAUCGUGCGAUUGAAAGCAAAACACAAAGGAAUUUUGGGCGCGAAGAUCUACACUGGUUCGGUGCUUAUUUUACAUACGGGACAUUUCAGUCGUCGUGUUGGUCAUUUGAAAGAAACCGCGCUUGAAGCACAAGCACACAGUUCUGGUCUUUCCUCUAUUCAGUACAAGAUAAAACCACAGAAACUUUGGCGCGAAGAUCUACGCUGGUUCGGUGCUUAUUUUACAUACGGGACAUUUCCGUCAUCAUGUUGUUGGCCAUUUGAAACACCGCGCUUGACACACAGUUAUGGUCUUUUCUCAAAUCAGUGCAAGAUAAAGACACAGCAAAACAUCGACAGUAUGCUGUUUAAAGUGCAGUACCAACAUCACAGAAAGUACAUAAAGCUUACUGGAUCAUCUUAUGAUUCUGUAAUCAAGGAUGGUAAGUGCUCCUGAAUGGUGAUAUCUGGCUAAUAAUUGUAAUAUGGUUUGUAUGCAUUUCAUUGUUAAUAACAAAUCUUUUAAGUC